RNAcentral lists this ribosomal RNA (449 nucleotides) under uncultured bacterium. Its description in RNAcentral is "partial 16S ribosomal RNA". It matches the Rfam family "Bacterial small subunit ribosomal RNA", at positions 29 to 523 of the family's 1533-position model. The record is from RNAcentral.
AACGAACGCUGGCGGCAGGCUUAAUACAUGCAAGUCGAGCGGGCACUUCGGUGUCAGCGGCGCACGGGUGCGUAACGCGUGGGAACAUGCCCUUAGGUACGGAACAACACAGGGAAACUUGUGCUAAUACCGUAUAAUCACUCCGGAUCAAAGAUUUAUCGCCUAAGGAUUGGCCCGCGUUAGAUUAGGUAGUUGGUGGGGUAAAGGCCUACCAAGCCGACGAUCUAUAGCUGGUCUGAGAGGAUGAUCAGCCACACUGGAACUGAGACACGGUCCAGACUCCUACGGGAGGCAGCAGUAAGGAAUAUUGGACAAUGGGCGAAAGCCUGAUCCAGCCAUGCCGCGUGAGUGCUGAAGGCCUUAGGGUUGUAAAGCUCUUUUAGAUGGGAAGCUAAUGACUGUACCAUCAGAAUAAGCCCCGGCUAAAUUCGUGCCAGCCGCCGCCGUAA